RNAcentral lists this long non-coding RNA (632 nucleotides) under Aquilegia coerulea. RNAcentral describes it as "long non-coding RNA (ACOE_LNC001988)". The record is from RNAcentral. Lineage: Eukaryota; Viridiplantae; Streptophyta; Magnoliopsida; Ranunculales; Ranunculaceae.
UUUGCAAUAAGGCCUCAAGAAAAUUCUUCUCUAGAACUGGUUUAUGAAACUUUCAUUCCACUGAAAUGUGUUUCCAACCAUAGAUGAUACAUAGUCUUGAAAACAAAACAAAUACAAAUUAAAGUACAGUAGGGUGCAAUCAAGUAGCACCAAUUGCACAUUCCAGUAAGAAAUCACUCAUCAUGGUGUAGGAACAGAAGGUGGUGCCGGUGGGGGGAGCAGAAGAAUUGGUGGCGUUUCACCGACUCCUUUUUUCAGAUUAGCAGUAGGUGCUGGAGUAAAAAAUCCUCUCCUUAUUCUGCCAAUCAAAACAGUUCCAGACGUAAAAUGAUCAUGUUUAGUGUUUUUGUAGUUCUCCACACCUGCAAAAUUUAUAAGUGGUACGUGCAACAUUUUUAUUUGAUAGAUAAUUUUUCCGAAGAAAAUAGUUUGAAAUAUAAUUAAAGGGUACCUGCAUUGGCAGCUAUGUUGCUGAAACCGAUAAGCAGGAUGAAGACUGCUGCUACUGCUAUAGAGAAGGAACCCAUUACAGCUUUAGUUGAAGGCUGAAUUGGAAUAGGGUACUAGUGUACUGUAUAUAUAAUAUGUAUUCAGUUUUUUGAAUUAUUGAUUAUGGUAUAAAUGCAUUCUCG